UGGCUCAGAUUGAACGCUGGCGGCAGGCUUAACACAUGCAAGUCGAGCGGGGAAAAGUAGCUUGCUACUUAACUUAGCGGCGGACGGGUGAGUAAUACUUAGGAAUCUGCCUAUUAGUGGGGGACAACAUUUCGAAAGGAAUGCUAAUACCGCAUACGUCCUACGGGAGAAAGCAGGGGAUCACUUGUGACCUUGCGCUAAUAGAUGAGCCUAAGUCGGAUUAGCUAGUUGGUGGGGUAAAGGCCUACCAAGGCGACGAUCUGUAGCGGGUCUGAGAGGAUGAUCCGCCACACUGGGACUGAGACACGGCCCAGACUCCUACGGGAGGCAGCAGUGGGGAAUAUUGGACAAUGGGGGGAACCCUGAUCCAGCCAUGCCGCGUGUGUGAAGAAGGCCUUUUGGUUGUAAAGCACUUUAAGCGAGGAGGAGGCUACUCUAGUUAAUACCUAGAGAUAGUGGACGUUACUCGCAGAAUAAGCACCGGCUAACUCUGUGCCAGCAGCCGCGGUAAUACAGAGGGUGCGAGCGUUAAUCGGAUUUACUGGGCGUAAAGCGUGCGUAGGUGGCCAAUUAAGUCAAAUGUGAAAUCCCCGAGCUUAACUUGGGAAUUGCAUUCGAUACUGGUUGGCUAGAGUAUGGGAGAGGAUGGUAGAAUUCCAGGUGUAGCGGUGAAAUGCGUAGAGAUCUGGAGGAAUACCGAUGGCGAAGGCAGCCAUCUGGCCUAAUACUGACACUGAGUACGAAAG
Molecule: ribosomal RNA, 746 nt
Filed under: uncultured Acinetobacter sp.
Lineage: Bacteria; Pseudomonadati; Pseudomonadota; Gammaproteobacteria; Moraxellales; Moraxellaceae
Description: bacterial SSU rRNA
Rfam family: Bacterial small subunit ribosomal RNA
Source: RNAcentral